UACAGAGGUCUCAAGCGUUGUUCGGAUUCAUUGGGCGUAAAGGGUGCGUAGGCGGAUAUUUAAGUCAGGGGUGAAAUCCCAGAGCUCAACUCUGGAACUGCCUUUGAUACUGGGUAUCUUGAGUAUGGAAGAGGUAAGUGGAAUUGCGAGUGUAGAGGUGAAAUUCGUAGAUAUCAGGAGGAACACCGGAGGCGAAGGCGGUUGCCUGGCGAUGCAUUGACGCUGAGGUGCGAAAGCGUGGGUAGCAAACAGG
Molecule: ribosomal RNA, 253 nt
Filed under: uncultured bacterium
Lineage: Bacteria
Description: partial 16S ribosomal RNA
Rfam family: Bacterial small subunit ribosomal RNA
Source: RNAcentral